This 478-nucleotide ribosomal RNA is filed under the name uncultured bacterium. RNAcentral describes it as "partial 16S ribosomal RNA". It matches the Rfam family "Bacterial small subunit ribosomal RNA", at positions 28 to 523 of the family's 1533-position model. The record is from RNAcentral.
GACGAACGCUGGCGGCGUGCUUAACACAUGCAAGUCGAACGGUAAGGCCCUUCGGGGUACACGAGUGGCGAACGGGUGAGUAACACGUGGGUGAUCUGCCCUGCACUUCGGGAUAAGCCUGGGAAACUGGGUCUAAUACCGGAUAGGACCCUGGGAUGCAUGUCCUGGGGGGGAAAGCUUUUGCGGUGUGGGGUGGGCCCGCGGCCUAUCAGCUUGUUGGGUGGGUGAUGGCCUACCAAGGCGACGACGGGUAGCCGGCCUGAGAGGGUGACCGGCCACACUGGGACCGAGAUACGGCCCAGACUCCUACGGGAGGCAGCAGUGGGGAAUAUUGCACAAUGGGCGCAAGCCUGAUGCAGCGACGCCGCGUGAGGGAUGACGGCCUUCGGGUUGUAAACCUCUUUCAGCACCGACGAAGCGCAAGUGACGGUAGGUGCAGAAGAAGGACCGGCCAACUACGUGCCAGCCGCCGCCGUAA